Molecule: ribosomal RNA, 301 nt
Filed under: uncultured bacterium
Lineage: Bacteria
Description: partial 16S ribosomal RNA
Rfam family: Bacterial small subunit ribosomal RNA
Source: RNAcentral
CAGCAGCCGCGGUAAUACGUAGGUGGCAAGCGUUGUCCGGAAUUAUUGGGCGUAAAGGGCUCGCAGGCGGCUCGAUAAAUUAGAAGUGAAAGCCUUGGGCUUAACCUGAGAAUUGCUUUUAAGACUGUCGAGCUAGAAUCCAGAAGAGGGUAGUGGAAUUCCGAGUGCAGAGGUGAAAUUCGUAGAUAUUCGGAAGAGCACCAGUGGCGAAGGCGACUACCUGGUCUGGCAUUGACGCUCAUGUGCGAAAGCGUGGGGAGCAAACAGGAUUAGAUACCCCUGUAGUCCCUGUCUCUUAUAC